AGUGGCAGACGGGUGAGUAACAUGUGCGGUAUCUUCCCUUUGGCCUGGAAUAACACGAGGAAACUUGUGCUAAUACUGGAUAAGUCUUUACGGAGAAAGCUUUAUGCACCAUUGGAUGAGCCUGCACUUGAUUAGUUUGUUGGUGGGGUAAUGGCCUACCAAGACUUUGAUCAAUAGCUGAUUUGAGAGGAUGAUCAGCCACAUUGGGACUGAGACACGGCCCAAACUCCUACGGGAGGCAGCAGUGGGGAAUCUUGCACAAUGGAGGAAACUCUAAUGCAGCGAUGCCGCGUGAGUGAAGAAGGCCUUUGGGUUGUAAAGCUCUUUCGUCGGGGAAGAAAAUGACUGUACCCGAAUAAGAAGGUCCGGCUAACUUCGUGCCAGCAGCCGCGGUAAUACGAAGGGACCUAGCGUAGUUCGGAAUUACUGGGCUUAAAGAGUUCGUAGGUGGUUGAAAAAGUUGGUGGUGAAAUCCCAGAGCUUAACUCUGGAACUGCCAUCAAAACUUUUCAGCUAGAGUUUGAUAGAGGAAGGCAGAAUUUCUAGUGUAGAGGUGAAAUUCUUAGAUAUUAUAAAGAAUACCAAUUGCGAAGGCAGCUUUCUGGUUC
RNAcentral lists this ribosomal RNA (608 nucleotides) under uncultured marine bacterium. Its description in RNAcentral is "bacterial SSU rRNA". It matches the Rfam family "Bacterial small subunit ribosomal RNA", at positions 94 to 735 of the family's 1533-position model. The record is from RNAcentral.